AUGUAUAGCCUGUUACAUGGGAAGCAGAGAUAUUUCAAAGUGAGGAUGAUUGAAACAGAGUUUAGAGUUACUUGUCAGAGAUCAGAAGAAUACAUGCAAGAGGCUGGAGAUCCACAGUACAGAGAUGAUCCUCAAACACUGUGUCAAGGCAAGCCUGCGUUCCGAGAGGAUCUAUCAAACUUCAGCCCCUCUCCAGUGAACAACUGCAAAAGUAAAUCCGCAUUAUGA
Molecule: long non-coding RNA, 228 nt
Filed under: Monodelphis domestica (gray short-tailed opossum)
Lineage: Eukaryota; Metazoa; Chordata; Mammalia; Didelphimorphia; Didelphidae
Description: lncRNA (ENSMODG00000047220.1)
Source: RNAcentral